AAACCGCUCGGAGGUAAACGGGUGGAGCCGUAGCGUCGGCUCGCGGAAUUCAGCCCGGCGCGGUCCGGGGUCGGCUCGGGAUACGUCCCCGAUCUUCCGGACGCGUGCCUCCGAGGCCGGCCCGACCCCAGAUGCACUUUCCGCGGGCAGAGUGUCUCGGUAAGCCGGGGGGCGACCAGGCGGCCCCGGGCAAGUCAGGCGCGGCGCGAAUCUGCCGUCGUCGCACCUUUUUCAGGCCCCGGGAAAGAAGGCUCGCUUGGAAUCUCAAGAUUCUCAACCGGCCGAGGAACUGCGGUCCCGGCGGCUGCGGGCCCGUGCGGCGGUGUCACGACAAAGAGGGACCGGGCAACCGUGCCUCUUGACCACACCGCCGUGAAGGGCGCCCUCGUCCUGGCCGCCGGGGAUGCCAGGAUCAAAGGCCGAUCGGUCGGCGAUCCACCCGACCCGUCUUGAAACAAGGACCAAGGAGUCUAACGUGCGGGCGAGUCGUACGAAACUCGAAGGCGCAGUGAAAGCGAGGGAGGUCCUCUGGACUUCCCAGGCGAGAUCCCUCGGCCUGGGGGCGCACCGCCGGCCCGUCUCGAGGUCGNCGGACCUGAGGCGGAGCUAGAGCGCGCGCGCUNNGACCCGAAAGAUGGUGAACUAUGCAUGGGCAGGACGAAGCCAGAAGAAGCUCUGGUGAAAGUCCGCAACGAUUCUGACAUGCAAAUCGAUCGUCGAAUCUGGGUAUAGGGGCGAAAGACUAAUCGAAUCAUCUAGUAGCUGGUUCACUC
Molecule: ribosomal RNA, 773 nt
Filed under: Valvata relicta
Lineage: Eukaryota; Metazoa; Mollusca; Gastropoda; Valvatidae
Description: eukaryotic LSU rRNA
Rfam family: Eukaryotic large subunit ribosomal RNA (bases 461-773)
Source: RNAcentral